Molecule: long non-coding RNA, 1445 nt
Filed under: Dromaius novaehollandiae (emu)
Lineage: Eukaryota; Metazoa; Chordata; Aves; Casuariiformes; Dromaiidae
Description: lncRNA (ENSDNVG00000008610.1)
Source: RNAcentral
GUGCAGGCUGCGAGCAGCGCUGCCUCGGUGCACGUCCUGCCCGCCUCCGUGCUCGCCACCCGCGCAGCGGCGGGSAGCUAAACGCCGAGCUGCCCCCGUCGGUGCCUGGGGCCCUCUCCGAGCUGGGCUGCGGCUGGGCGUCCUCCUCUCGGCCUGGCAGCCCCRGCUGCCUGGGGGGAGGCCGUCCGCCCCGCAGCUCUCCCCUUGCACUUGCUUUACCUCUGGUUCAGAGCUAGAAAAUAGUGRCUGCAGCUCCUAAUUUGCCGGGGAAUGGCUUCACGGCAGCCUGUUCCUGACGCUGCCAUCACCUAGAGACGAUGGCACAGGUCGGAGCAUGUUACCGACUGCUAGAAAGAAAACCGGCGCUGCCCUCAAACCUUGCAAGCAAAAAGCUGUGCUUUGGGCUGGUUUGCUGGCACAGAGCGUGGUUUCUGCUUCGUUAGCAAGCUUUGGUCAGGGUUCGUCCUGCGCUGCUGUUGCAGSCUGGUAGGUGGCUGUGUUAGAUGUUAAAAAUAUUGAAGAAUAUGCAGAAACUGAGAGCUGCUGAUAAAACCAAAUUUGCCAGAGUCUGCAGGCGGCACAGAAUGGRGGCCUAGGAGGAAUGUGCAAGAUGUUUUCGUGAAUGCUAAUUACUUCCAGAYGCACGGUCCUUGCAGCUACAGAGGAAAUAUUAGUUGUUCGUGAAUAUACUUCGUUCCAUCCUUAACAGCGUUGCCGGUGGGAGCGAAGCCUCCACCAGUGGCUGCUGCUCUCGACGGCGAYGCGCUCGGCCGCUGCUUUGGACGUGCAGCUGACGGAAGCCGACGCUCCCGGUGUUUUGCACUGAAGGGAAGUUUGCUCGAAGCGGCAAAUUCCAAUUUUGUUAUCCCAGCGCGGUCCAGAGAAAAUCUGGGAUUUAGCGGUCGUGCCGCUAAAAUCACCGGACUGACUCCGMAUCGUGCCUGGGGGAAGGAGACUCRCCGGCCUCCCGUCRCUUCGCCKGGGCCCCGAGCCGCGGUGCCCACUYGGCACAGCUCCAUUUCUGCACRUGCGAUUUCAGAAGAAGCAGCUGCCUCUCGGCAGCAUCCAGGUUUGUCUCUGCUCCAGGCUCUGGGACUGCAGAAUGCACCCGCCUGAGCAUGCUGGCCCCGGGAGUGGACUGCGGUGGACGUUCAAGUGAUUAAGACAUUGGUGCCAGAGACCCUUUCCCUGUUUGUCCUCUGAAGCCAACAGUGCAGGGCUCGGGAGAGGCACAGGAAAGAAGUUUGCUUCCACCAAGGUAAUGCAGGAGGGAGAGAGAGGUGAAGUGGUCUCCUUUCAGGUUCGARCUAGCUGAGUCUCCACUCACCUGAGUUGCCAUUGAAAACUUGAACCCUUGCUAAAAGUUUCAAGAGAAAGGGGUGAGUUGGAAGGGAAGGUUUAAGUCUAGAAACACCAGGAAACCUGCCAUUUUUGCACAUUCCUAG